This 585-nucleotide long non-coding RNA is filed under the name Mus musculus (house mouse). RNAcentral describes it as "long non-coding RNA chr9:94985861-94986446". Lineage: Eukaryota; Metazoa; Chordata; Mammalia; Rodentia; Muridae. The record is from RNAcentral.
AAUAUUAUGGGCUUUGUUCACUCCUGGUACUUUAAACCUUGUGAAAAACUAAAGAGGCCAUUGGCCCUUGAAAGAGACCAACUAGUGUUUUUUGUUUGUUUUAUUUUAUUUUUGCUGAAUGGAUAUUUCAAAUUGCCUUCUAGAUACUUACACCUACACCUAGAAAUUCGUUCUGCUCCUAGCCUUUGUCAGAGAAGUGUCGUUUUGUAGUUGGUAGAAGUUAAUGCAGGUAACCAUAACUGGUCAGAGUUCUAAGAGUGAAGAUUUUGUGCUUGGUUCUAAAUGAGACAUUGAUACCAGCCUCUCUAAAGAUCAACAAACACCAUGGUACAGUGAGCAGAAAGACUUUAAUGGGUGCUGAGUGAAAUAAAAUUCUAUUUUCUGAGCAUGGCAUGGGGCUGUGGCACUCGCCAACUCACAGUAUCUAAGGUUAUCUAGACAAGACCUAUGAAAGAUGGAACCCAUCAAUAUUUCAUCAUGGGUGGAGGGGAGGUUCUGAGCCCUAACCCUCCUUGAGAAAUUAUUGUAGUAAUAAUUGCUGUAGAAAGAGCUGAUUUUCCCCCCAUAAGUGGUGUAGGCUCCAGU